Peromyscus leucopus (white-footed mouse) is the source of this 900-nucleotide long non-coding RNA. RefSeq lists it as uncharacterized. The transcript has 2 exons. NCBI's taxonomy places the organism in Eukaryota, Metazoa, Chordata, Mammalia, Rodentia, Cricetidae. The record is from RefSeq and is a predicted model, not a curated record.
ACUCACCGUGCGCCCAAUCUGGCUGCUCCACGGCUCGGUUCCCUCCUUGCCUUCGGCCUCUUUGCUGGAACUUUCACGCAGCGUCUCUGGCUUUGGCUGCGUCACGGUGAGCUCUAUCAGCUAUCAAUCAUCCUCUCCUCUGAAUCUGGAAACAAUGGAGAAUCACAUUCAAGAACAUCCCUGGCCGACUCGGCUCUGGAAGCCCCACUCUGUCAACUAAUGACACCCUGUGCUUGCAGCUUCUGCCCGCGACUUCUACUCCAAGUUCACUAACCACUCCCAGCUACAGUCCUAGGAUGUCUCUGGUAGAGGAGGACUAUUGAUACCCGAUGAACUGUAGACUGACACAGCAAGGCAGGCCGGGAAGAUAACUCAGUUGGGUUCAAGGCCCAGAACCCACAUGGGGUCAGGCAUAGCAGCACACAUGUGUGGUCUUAGUGUUCCUGUGGUGAGAGGAGAGGCAAAAACAGGAAUUCCCCAGUCCUCUGCCCACUCCAUGCAUUCCAUGGAGUGCAUGUAUCCGCACUCACAUACAGGAAAAAUAUCCACACAUGCACAGUAACGUGCCAUGGGCUAGGGAUGUGGCUUAGCUGGCAGAGUGCUUGCGUAGUGUGCAUGAAGCCCUGGGUUCCAUUCCGAGCACUGAAUACACUGGACAUGGUGUUCAGGUGGUGCAGGUGGGAGGAUCAGGAGUUCGAGGCCAUCCUCUGCUGAGUAGGAAGUUCCAGGCUACAAGGAGAGUCUCAAAAACAAGAUCUGUCAUAGCAGUGGGUGCCAGGGUGGGGGUGGAGGACAGGUGAACAGUUCGUGGUGUCUCUUGUAUCUGCUCUAUGUGAAUGCUGUCAUUCCUGGAAAUAAUUAGAUCACAAGGCCCCUGAGGAUGGGGACUGUACCCUUGAA